AUUGAACGCUGGCGACAUGCUUUACACAUGCAAGUCGAACGGCAGCGCGGGCUUCGACCUGGCGGCGAGUGGCGAACGGGUGAGUAAUGCAUCGGAACGUGCCCAGUAGUGGGGGAUAGCCCGGCGAAAGCCGGAUUAAUACCGCAUACGACCUGAGGGUGAAAGCGGGGGACCGAAAGGCCUCGCGCUAUUGGAACGGCCGAUGUCGGAUUAGCUAGUUGGUGGGGUAAAGGCUUACCAAGGCGACGAUCCGUAGCUGGUCUGAGAGGACGACCAGCCACACUGGGACUGAGACACGGCCCAGACUCCUACGGGAGGCAGCAGUGGGGAAUUUUGGACAAUGGGGGCAACCCUGAUCCAGCCAUGCCGCGUGCGGGAAGAAGGCCUUCGGGUUGUAAACCGCUUUUGUUCGGGAAGAAAUCCUCUGGGCUAAUACCCCGGGGGGAUGACGGUACCGGAAGAAUAAGCACCGGCUAACUACGUG
RNAcentral lists this ribosomal RNA (484 nucleotides) under uncultured bacterium. RNAcentral describes it as "partial 16S ribosomal RNA". It matches the Rfam family "Bacterial small subunit ribosomal RNA", at positions 29 to 507 of the family's 1533-position model. The record is from RNAcentral.